Molecule: ribosomal RNA, 243 nt
Filed under: uncultured bacterium
Lineage: Bacteria
Description: partial small subunit ribosomal RNA
Rfam family: Bacterial small subunit ribosomal RNA
Source: RNAcentral
AGAAUCAACGCUGGCGGCGUGCCUAACACAUGCAAGUCGCACGAGAAAGGGGCUUCGGCCCUGAGUAAAGUGGCGCACGGGUGAGUAACACGUGAAUGAUCUAUCUCCGAGUGGGGAAUAACCAAAGAAAUUUGGCUAAUACCGCAUAACACUUACGAGUCAAAGCAGCAAUGCGCUUGGAGAGGAGUUCGCGGCAGAUUAGCUAGUUGGCGGGGUAAUGGCCCACCAAGGCGAUGAUCUGUA